UACAGAGGUCCCAAGCGUUGUUCGGAUUCACUGGGCGUAAAGGGUGCGUAGGCGGUCGGGUAAGUCUGACGUGAAAUCUCCGGGCCUAACCCGGAAACUGCGUCGGAUACUAUUCGGCUAGAGGAUUGGAAGGGAGACUGGAAUUCUCGGUGUAGCAGUGAAAUGCGUAGAUAUCGAGAGGAGCACCAGUGGCGAAGGCGAGUCUCUGGACAAUUCCUGACGCUGAGGCACGAAAGCCAGGGGAGCAAACAGG
This 253-nucleotide ribosomal RNA is filed under the name uncultured bacterium. RNAcentral describes it as "partial 16S ribosomal RNA". It matches the Rfam family "Bacterial small subunit ribosomal RNA", at positions 524 to 776 of the family's 1533-position model. The record is from RNAcentral.